AUAUACAGCCACAGCACCCUGAGAAUGGCUGAUCUGGGAAGCUAAGCAGGGUCGGGCCCGGUCAGCACUUGGAUGGGAGACCAGCUGGGAGUAGCAGGUGCUGUGGGCU
Molecule: ribosomal RNA, 109 nt
Organism: Patagioenas fasciata monilis
Lineage: Eukaryota; Metazoa; Chordata; Aves; Columbiformes; Columbidae
Source: Rfam